ACGUUGGGGUUGUCAAAAAAUAGUAGAAAUAGUACUGUUUUAAACUUCCAAACCACAAAAGGCACAAGAAUCAAAGAGCUAUAAACCAGGUAACUUAUCACUAUCCAAGAAGAGGCCGUCAGAAGUGCUCAGAAAAGAAAUGGACGGCGCAUGUGCUCUGACGCGCCGGUGCGUGAAACUGCAUUAAUCCUUCUGUAGGCGCGUGCGGCUCACGCGUGGCUCCACUGGUGACAGGACCUCCGGGAGGCUAGUCGUCGGCGACCUAGCUAGCAUUUGGAGUGGGAGGUGAGACAAGAUGGUUACCCUUGUUGGUGACCCAAUUCUCCAAUAGCCAAAAACAUAGAGAA
This 347-nucleotide unclassified non-coding RNA is filed under the name Hevea brasiliensis (rubber tree). Lineage: Eukaryota; Viridiplantae; Streptophyta; Magnoliopsida; Malpighiales; Euphorbiaceae. The record is from RNAcentral.